AAACUAGGAAUGUACGUGGUUUUAUUUCUGCAGAAAUUUAGAAAAAGCUCUCAUAGUAACACCGUGGUAGGAGUCAGAAAGACACUGGAGUCAUUAAGGCCCCUUAAAUGACUAAUUAG
This 119-nucleotide small nucleolar RNA is filed under the name Cavia porcellus (domestic guinea pig). Its description in RNAcentral is "Small nucleolar RNA SNORA33 (ENSCPOG00000029036.2)". The record is from RNAcentral. Lineage: Eukaryota; Metazoa; Chordata; Mammalia; Rodentia; Caviidae.